UACGUAGGAUGCAAGCGUUGUCCGGAAUUAUUGGGCGUAAAGAGCGCGUAGGCGGUUUUUCAAGUCAGAUGUGAAAUAUCCGGGCUUAACCCGGAGGGGUCAUUUGAAACUGAGAAACUAGAGUACAGCAGAGGAUAGCGGAAUUCCCGGUGUAGUGGUGAAAUGCGUAGAUAUCGGGAGGAACACCAGUGGCGAAGGCGGCUAUCUGGGCUGAAACUGACGCUGAGGCGCGAAGGCUAGGGGAGCAAACAGG
RNAcentral lists this ribosomal RNA (253 nucleotides) under uncultured bacterium. RNAcentral describes it as "partial 16S ribosomal RNA". It matches the Rfam family "Bacterial small subunit ribosomal RNA", at positions 524 to 776 of the family's 1533-position model. The record is from RNAcentral.